Molecule: ribosomal RNA, 433 nt
Filed under: uncultured bacterium
Lineage: Bacteria
Description: partial 16S ribosomal RNA
Rfam family: Bacterial small subunit ribosomal RNA
Source: RNAcentral
AAUGAACGCUGGCGGCAUGCCUAACACAUGCAAGUCGAACGAGAGCAUCGGGUCUAGUGGCGCAUGGGUGCGUAACGCGGGGGAACCUGCCCUUAGGUUUGGAAUAACUCCCCGAAAGGGGUGCUAAUACCGGAUAAUGUCUUCGAACCAAAGAUUUAUCGCCUUUGGAUGGGCCCGCGUUGGAUUCGCUUGUUGGGAGGGUAAAAGCCUACCAGGGCGACGUUCGAUAGCUGGGCUGAGAGGCAGAGCAGCGACACUGGGGCUAGGCAGCGGCCCGGACUCCUGCGCGAUGCGCCAGAGCCUGAUCUAGCAAAACCGCGUGAAUCAUGAAGGACCUCUGACUCGUAAGCGCUGUAGGCCUGAGGGAAGUACAGCUCGUUUACCCCGGAUGAUUAUGACGGUACCGAGAGAAUAAGCUCCGGCUAACUUCGUG